CAUGCUUAGGAAAUGCAUAAAGAGGCUACCAACUUUCAACUCUAAGAAAUCGGUAGAAAUCAAGAUCAAAAUACCACAGUUUCUUCGUAAUUCACAUAAAAACACCCUGAUUUUUGUUUGCCCCUAAGCCAAUACAAUCCAAGUAUACCCCAGUCGAGACCCCACUCUUCUUCUCUUAUCCCUUCCCUUCCCCAAAAAUAAUAUCUUCAAGAAAAGUUACAAACCUCAGCCUUCUUCUCGCUUCUCCAGUUUCUUUCAAGCAGCUUCCUUAAUGGAGCUCACUUGUUUGCAUAACAAAUUCAAUUUGUCUGCUUUGCCUCACCUUUCACUUCCAUCCUCCAAGAACCCUAACCCCAGAUUCUUUUCUAGAAAAAGGAACAAUCUUUGUCUGGCCUCAACUUCUGAUACCCUUGUGACUGGUUCCGGAAAAGAAGUUAGCAGCAAGAAAGAUGCUGAAUUUGGGGACUUGAAAUCUUGGAUGCACAAAAAUGGCUUGCCACCCUGUAAAGUUGUUCUCAAAGAGAGGCCUUCUUAUGAUGAGAAGCAUAGACCUAUACAUUACGUCGCUGCCUGUGAGGAUCUUCGGGCGGGUGACGAGGCUUUUUCGGUGCCGAAUUCAUUGGUUGUAACGCUUGAGAGAGUGCUGGGAAACGAGACUGUUGCGGAACUUUUGACAACAAACAAGUUGUCAGAAUUGGCAUGCUUAGCUUUGUACUUAAUGUAUGAGAAGAAGCAAGGAAAGAAAUCAUUCUGGUAUCCAUAUAUUAGAGAGCUUGAUCGCCAACGUGGAAGGGGCCAGCUGGCUGUGGAAUCUCCACUUCUAUGGUCAGAUGAUGAAUUGGCUUACCUAACGGGUAGCCCCACUAAGGCUGAAAUUGUUGAAAGGGCUGAAGGAAUAAAGAGAGAGUAUAAUGAGCUUGAUACUGUUUGGUUUAUGGCUGGGUCUCUCUUUCAGCAAUAUCCCUAUGAUAUACCUACUGAGGCCUUUCCAUUUGAGAUUUUCAAACAAGCCUUUGUUGCUGUUCAGUCUUGUGUGGUGCAUUUACAGAAAGUACCUUUGGCUCGGAGAUUUGCAUUAGUUCCUCUUGGACCCCCAUUGCUAGCUUACAGGAGCAAUUGCAAGGCAAUGUUAAGUGCUGUUGCUGGUGCUGUUGAACUAGUGGUUGAUCGCCCAUAUAAGGCUGGGGAACCUAUUGUUGUCUGGUGUGGACCACAGCCUAAUUCGAAACUGCUUAUAAACUAUGGUUUUGUUGAUGAUGAUAAUCCUUAUGAUCGCCUGGUUGUUGAGGCAGCGUUGAAUACUGAGGAUCCUCAAUAUCAAGACAAGAGACUGGUUGUUCAAAGAAAUGGAAAACUAUCUGUACAAGCUUUUCCUGUUUAUGCAGGGAAGGAAAAAGAAGCUGUCUCGGAUAUGCUUCCAUAUUUGCGAUUAGGCUAUGUUUCAGAUCCUUCUGAGAUGCAAUCUGUCCUUUCUUCUCAAGGUCCAGUCUGCCCGGUGAGCUCAUGUAUGGAACGAGCGGUGCUAGACCAGCUUGCUGAUUAUUUCAAGAGACGCUUGGCUGGCUACCCUACUACACUGAAUGAAGAUGAGUCAUUGUUGUUAGAUCCAAACUUGAAUCCCAAGAAACGAGUUGCCACUCAGCUUGUUAGGUUGGAAAAGAAAAUUCUCCAUGCAUGUUUGCAGGCAACAGUGGAUCUGAUUGACCAGUUACCUGAUCACACUGUGUCUCCAUGCCCUGCACCUUAUGCCCCCCUGUUGAAAUAAAAGUCUGCAGUAUUACCAGUCUUGGUUUUAACUAGGCAAAAUAGUGGAAGUUCUUUGCGCUACUUGGAUAAUUUCCCCUGUCAAUAGGAGAGUAUAUAUCAGGUAGAUUUAAAAAUCUGCAACCUCUUAGGAACUAUAUGGAAUAGGGGAAGUUUGAUGGUGGAUCUAAUAGGCUUUAAGAGAACGAAUCAUGCUUGUUCUUCUAUUCCGAGAUAUUGGAUGCCGUGAUGUGCCUUUAAUGAGUGGUUCUUCAAGAUGCAUAAACUCUUCGUUUGCGUCUUCCUUCUUGCAUAUAAUUUUCUUUCUCUUAUGCCCUUCAAGUGGCUAGCUACAAUCUUGUGUUUGAGUAGUAGUCUUUAUGUAAUGUACAUAUGAAUAAACGAUGCUAACAUUUUUUCUGUUAAUAAACUGCUAUAAAUCAAAAUUGAAUAGGAAAA
Molecule: RNA transcript, 2202 nt
Organism: Gossypium arboreum
Lineage: Eukaryota; Viridiplantae; Streptophyta; Magnoliopsida; Malvales; Malvaceae
Exons: 13
Source: RefSeq, a predicted model, not a curated record